UGACUGCCAAGGCUAAAGACCCACAC
This 26-nucleotide non-coding RNA is filed under the name Rattus norvegicus (Norway rat). Lineage: Eukaryota; Metazoa; Chordata; Mammalia; Rodentia; Muridae. The record is from RNAcentral.